CAUGGGGACUAACAGGUCCCGUAGCGAAAACCAAAGCCAUGUGCACAAUAUGCAAAGCUCAGGUCAAGUAGGUACACAGGUUGAAAUUAAAGUUGAAUGUUACCCUUCCCUUAUCCUCUUUUUCUUUCUGUACCCAGAUGCAUGAUAUUGAUAUGUAAGAGAUAUAGGCUAUGACAGCUCACCAAUUUAGAGAUCACAGGUGACCAAUGUUCCAUGUCGAAAAUGCUUCAGGCAAGCUGUCACACAAGCAAAGGUAUAACACAACACCGAUGUAAAGCAAAAGUUAGCGUUGUAUUAAUGAACGUGUUAUGUUGCAAACUGG
Pelobates cultripes (western spadefoot toad) is the source of this 322-nucleotide non-coding RNA. NCBI's taxonomy places the organism in Eukaryota, Metazoa, Chordata, Amphibia, Anura, Pelobatidae. The record is from the annotation of a GenBank genome assembly.